GGGACUUUAGGACCCAGGAGCGAGUAGCAAGGGCUUAAAGGCUGAGGUGUCCAUAGGGGCGGGUUCUUGUGUUUUCAGUCAGCUGCUUAGCCAGGGAAACGGAGCGGAGUGGAACUGCGGUAAGUUUGAAUUGUUUGGCACGCUGUUGUACUAGGCCAGCAUUAGCUGCCUCAUCAUGGGUUAUGGCACUUAUAAGUCUGUUCGUUCUUGUAGAUUACAGAUGAGUGUUGGUGGCCAGUGUGCUGGCGUUCCGUAUGUUGAAGGGUUUGUGUGCAGUUACCAGUAAUUGAAUCACGGAAGUGUCUCUGGGUUUAACGCCGAAUGGGCGUGUAACUAGAACGAAUCUCGAUAUCCGCUGGGAACUCUCUCACUCUUGCGGCCAGGUGCGUAUAACCAACAAAGCAUUGAGACGGUCCCCCUGCUCUGCGCGCUGAGAAGAUUAAUAUCAAAUGUUUUUCAACAGACUGUGCUGGUGUUACAGGGUGUUUGUAUACUGUAAUUGCUGCCGUGUGCUUGGGCGGGUGGCCUAGCCAAAGUAGGUAUUUGUUAGCCUGAUUAUCUAAUUAACUGUUAGACUUUGGCCUUGCAACGACUCAUUCUUAUUCUAUGUGUAGCCUGUUGUUAUACCCGGUCCCGUGCGCCCCGUCAUACGUGUGCACUGGCUUCUGUGUGCUCCGGCGUCUGUGUGCUCCGGCGUCUGGUGUGUCUGUUCACACGAGGUUAUUAGAAGCCUUUUGUGAAUGAACCCCGUCUCUCGUCUUGUUUACUUUGUUUGGACAUCCAGCCACUGUUUUCUCAUGUAUGAAACUUAUGUAUGUUUUUACCAUUCAUUGAUACCAUGCCUAUGAACUUAUAGGGUUAAUGUCGAGCUCUUCCGGUCAUUAAUCUUUUACCAUUGAGAUAAAUUGUUGUGUUUGGGCAGUGUGCAAUAUUACGGGGGGACAGAGGAAAGUGCUAGUGGGCAUGUGCAAUUUGGAUAGCUUUAGCUGAUCAUCAUAGUAGCACUCACGCACUUUACUUGUUCUCAUAUUUAAGUGGCCAUUGCUUGGGUUCUCGUAGCUAGUGGGCGGAGCUCAGUGCUCAAGGUAUUAAGGUGACCACUGUGUGGUGUGAUUAGAAUUUGGGUGUCCUAACAAAGCACUUUAUGGUUAAUGCAGUGUAGCCUUUGUUGCUGUCUUUGGUGUGCUGAAUCCUUUUGGAGCCUUGUGCUCAUGAUGAACUAAAGGUGGAUUUCCUGUCAACAUUGAGUACUGUGGUCCGGCCCAAUAUUUAGUGUAAAUAUCUCCUACGGAGGCUUGUCUACGAGAACUCAGGUAUGUGGCCAUGAUGUGUUGCUACCAUUAAUGUUGUUCCUGUACGAAGCACCUAUUUUAAUAACUCUGCAGACCAUAAAUAAAUUAUGUCUACAUUGUUUUUGCUACAUCAGCCUCCAAUUGUUUCAUUCACUUGAAUAGUACUAGCGUGGGGUACAUCUUUAGUCUACUGUACUAGUUGGGUCUCUCAUCCCAGUCCAAUAAAUGGGAGUGGCGUAGUCAGACCAUCUUGUGGUAUAGUACAACUGGGUUAU
Long non-coding RNA from Alosa sapidissima (American shad), 1567 nucleotides. RefSeq lists it as uncharacterized. The record is from RefSeq and is a predicted model, not a curated record. NCBI's taxonomy places the organism in Eukaryota, Metazoa, Chordata, Actinopteri, Clupeiformes, Clupeidae. The transcript has 3 exons.